Brassica rapa (field mustard) is the source of this 2983-nucleotide long non-coding RNA. RefSeq lists it as uncharacterized. The record is from RefSeq and is a predicted model, not a curated record. Lineage: Eukaryota; Viridiplantae; Streptophyta; Magnoliopsida; Brassicales; Brassicaceae.
AACAAAGCACCCCUCUUCAAUCAAAAAGGCCAAUUCGUGCUCGGCUUCUCGAAGAACGAAGGAUAAAGAUGGUAAUUUGCCCAUGCUUCACAGAACCGGCCAAAAACCACAUGCAGGCAUCCGUCUAGAAGUUUUGGAGAAGACAGAAGUCUUACCAUCUCUGUCUGACCUAUUCAAGAUGACUCACGCCACAUCCGACGGAGUUUUUGUGGAUCCGGCAUCUGAGAAACUCGCUCAAGCAGUGGCUACUCGGAUUGAAGAACUGGAGACUCAACUAACUCAGGAGUCUCCCGAUGGAUUACCCGUCACAUUGUCCACCGAAGAAGCCGACAGAAUCUUCGAAGAGGUACAACUUAAAAUUUUUGUUACAUUAUUUUUAAUAUUUUAACAUAAUUAACUAUAUUAAUAUAUGUUUUAAUUUUAUAGCUGGCUCCUAGAAAGAAGGGACAAAUAGUUGGUAUAGGUUCUGUUAACGAAGUUGCAAGGGCAACUUCGUCAUACACUUCGAGACGGGAUGAAGAGACUUCUCAGAUGAAAGCUCGAAUGGAUAGCCAGCAGGUUUGUUUAGACUCUCUUGAGGAUUUGCUAGACGUGAUGGCCGUGGGAAACCCGGUUAUGCAGAGAAUGUUGAGUCAGAGACGAGCCGCUCUUGGGUUGCCAGUACGAGAUCCCCAAGAGUCCGAUCCAACCCGUCAACAGCCGAGCAGCCCCACCGACUACUUCGAUGAUAUGUAGUUUUUUUAAUAUUUCGGUGUGUAUUAUGAAUUUAAAUAUUAUGACUUUUAAAUGCUUUUUUAAAAUAUGUUUUUUAUUUUCAUAUUUCGUUUUAAAAUUAAAAUUAUUUAUAAUUCUGAAUUUAAAAUAAAUUCAAAUUUAUAUAUUUGAGAUUAAAAACAAUAUUCAAAAUAUAUUAUAAAACGAAACGUCGAUGUAGGCUCGACGUAAACAUUUACGACUGAUUACCGUCGAAAAUAUUUACGAGGCUUUUACAUCGAAACCAUUACGUAGAGUUUACAUCGAAAGUUUAUGAGGGUGUUACAUCGAAAUGUUUACGUGUUUGUUACAACGAAAUUGUUUACGUCUGCUUUACAUCGAAUCUAUUACGUGGAGUUUACCACGAAGUCUUACGUCUCGUUUACGACGAAUCUAUGCUCUGCGCUUUACGAGGAAUAUAUUUCGUCGUAAACUUAACAAGUCAUUUACGACGAAACGUCGGUUACGACGGACGUUUUACGAUGAAACGUGUUUCGAGGUUAAUUCGUCGUAACACCCCGUUUACGACGAAGUUACAACGUAUAUAGCCCUCGUAAAAAAUAUGUUUUCUUGUAGUGUUCAAUUAAUCAUGUGUUAAGACUUAAGAGAAAAAAAUUUAUGUCAGUAUGCAGGCUGUUUUUGUAAGACAAGUGGAAAACUAAAGUACAAUAAUAACAUACUUUUUUUUUUUGCAAAAGGCUUAACAAUAAUAACAUACUUGUCCAGCCCAAUAAUAAUUAAUUGUUUUCAAAGCUAGAGAAAAUGUCCAAGUAGUUGCUUCCAAGAAAUGAAUUAAACAGCUCACUUGUUUCCGUUAAUGCCUUAUCGUGCAAUUUUUUUUUUUUUUGGUGCAAAUAAAACACAUAAAGAAGAGACGUUCCCGAAACAUGUUCCGUACGGCUUUCUCAAAUCUCAUGCAAUAAUUGAUUAAUUUCUUACGUCUUUUCCAUAAUUUGAAGUUUUAAUAUUACCAACUAUAGAAAAUAAACCACUUCCCCUAUAUAUUAAUUGAGGAACAUUUGAAAACAUGUAACCUCAAUUUUGUAUUAAUUAAAAAAGAUCCCAUGCUGAUUUGUCAAUCAAUUAAGAUGUCUAAUUAUCUUACGUGGCAGCUUUAUAUUCAAUUGGAAAAAAGUAAGUCCAAAAAUCGAUUGUGUAUAUUCACUAGGGAAAUAUGAUAGUAACUAUACUUUCUUGGAAUAAAAUAAUAGUCCAUCCGUAGAAGUCAGUUAAAUUCUCUUAUUAGCUUAGUGAGAAAGUAUAGACCAAGUAAUAAAUAAAUACACGUGAUAUACAAGUUGAUUUUGAAUCUGUAUUUGGUAAUAUACAAUUCAUUUAUAUUAAAUAAAAAAUUUACUACUUACUGUAUUUGUGCCAAAGUAUAUGUGAUUCCAAAUAUAUAUAGUUAUAACUAUAUCUUAACGGUUGACAAAAAAAACUAUAUCUUAACAUAUAGGAAAAAAUAACUAUAUUUAUAGCAAAUAUAAAAAAAUAUUCCAAAGAUAUUAAUUCAUUGAAUAAACUCUAUCAGACAUUAUGUAUUAAGUUUGGGACUUUGAAAGAUGAAUCUAUGUUUUGAAACUUAUUUUAGGUUUAAUUAUAAAAUACAAAAAAACCUUUUGAUUAUAUUACGUACAAUUUAGUACAAGAAACAUGUUUUCAAACUAUCUACAAUUUAGUAAUUUGAAUUAAGGAUGUUCAAUUCGUUAAAAACCGUAACAACUAAAACUAAACCAAACCGAAAUAAAAUAGGUGGUUUGAUUUGAUAACAUCGUAUACACCGAAUAUGUUAUUUUUUUAAAAACUGCGGUAUAUGAAUAUGGUUCAGUAUAUAAACCAAUCAAACCAUAUAUAUCGAAUAAAUUGAUUAAUUAAAAUAUAGUAGUAUACUUAUAUGUAAAUUACAUAAUAUAAUUAUAUAUAUGUAGUUUAUUUUAUUGAUAUGAUCUUAAGACGUUAAUUUAAAUAAUUGGUUAUUUUAAACUAAAGGCUUUCAUUGACAUAUAUUUGUGUAAAAAUUAGUAUAUUUUAAUAAUCUUUUUACUUUUCAUCCCAUGAAUCUUUAAUAAUUAUAAUUUAACAGUUAAAUAAAAUAGAAAAAACAUCCUGUUUAAGAAUUAGAGUACAUUAUAAUAAACUUUAUUUUUAAUCAUACAAAAUUAAAUUGACAAAAUGGUAUAAAUGAUAUAUAUAGUAUAUAGUUUAAGUUUUUAUGUAUAAAAUGAAUAAA